Long non-coding RNA from Pezoporus occidentalis (night parrot), 1532 nucleotides. RefSeq lists it as uncharacterized. NCBI's taxonomy places the organism in Eukaryota, Metazoa, Chordata, Aves, Psittaciformes, Psittacidae. The record is from RefSeq and is a predicted model, not a curated record. The transcript is spliced from 2 exons.
UUUGCCAGUACAUUUGAACAUGGCAUUCUGCUAUUAAUUCAGUGUUGCUUACCAUGUCAGAAUGGAUGGCAGUAGUAAACCUCAUCUUUUAAUAAUGUUUAGUAUGAAGUGUCUACCUUCUGUAGUGUACCCUUUUUUAUAAAGGAGAAAAUGACCACAAGUUUCUGACAAAUACUAGUGAGACAGCAAGUAAAAAUAAAUGCUGUGAUUUAAGCUGGUUUGCUCAUUGUAACACUGUUCUGCUUCCACUGGAACUGCAAUUGUCAAGCAGGUCAUAGGCUACAGAUGCAGUAGAGAGAUUGUGUUUCUGGUAUGAUCCAAGGCCAGUGAGGCUAACUGCCAUCUGCCCAGUAUUGUUCUUUCAUUCUUGAAUUGGAAAUAAAAUCCAAAGCAAAUAAAGGGAAAGAGGAGGUAUGUGAAAACCAUGCCUAACAUACUGCCUUUCAAGUUAGCUUUCUAGUGGAAAAGGUUCAAACCCGGGACCAUUCCUCUAAUGAGAUGCAAUUUGUGUUAUAUGGCAAAUAAGCUUCUUGAAGUUUUUUACCAAAAGCUGUUAUUGGGAGAAACUCUGUUUUUUAGUGCAAAGCAGCCAACAGUCAUGGAUUUGAUUACGAUUUUUUUCAAGUUCAUUGUUUAACAAUGUAUUUGAGUGAAAAAACUUCAUUUUACAAUGCUUUUGGAGGUAGACAGUUUAUUUUACUGAUUGCUGUGAAGGAUUUGCAGCUUGCUUGCUGGGUGUUGGAGUGCCAGCCAAAAAAAGUUCCUGAUACAUUUCUUCCCAUCAGAAACACUUAAAUAGUGAUUCUACAACAGUAGAGCUGCUGUUUUGGAGUUUUCCUACCUAAUUAUUUUAAGAAUUGUUGGGGGCUUUAAAACUUCUGAGGUAUACAAUUCCUUCAUUACAGAACUUCCCAUUCAGACUGUGGUGCUCGAAGUAAAGCUUGAAGGGAGAACUUUUCAGCCUGGAUGGUAUAUGCAGUCCUCUGCAUUCAGAUUGUGUAUUGUGUCCACCCUUCUUCUGCGUGAUUCUGGCUGUCUUAGGUUUCUGAUGUUGAUGAUGACUUGGAAUGUCAGCCACUGGGAUGUGGUUCACAGUGGUUUACAGCAGAGUUGCUGUGAAGUUUUUAGUGUAGGUGGCUGUCUUCUCGUUUUUGUGGGGUAACUCAUGGUUUUGCUUGAAAACCUGAGUCUGAAAGAUAGAAUAUCACAGGUUACAUAUGUCUUACACUGAAAGGUUCUCUUUACAAUUAAGACUUGUGUAAAUGCAGUCUUACCAUAAAAUUUAAGUAAAUUUUGUGCUUCCUUAUUAAAUGAAGUUCCUCUCUGUGAGGGUCUAGCUGGAAAUACGUUGUUCUGCGUUUCUUUGAACUCCAUAAUGGGCUUUGCGCUCAAACAUUCUACCCGCACUCAAGCCUUUAUUAUAUAAAUGAGGACAUACCUCCAUUUCAGGGCACAGUAUGAUGAAAACACUCAUACUGAGGAGUAGGUAGAGUAUGGGCACCAAUGACGGAUGCCAAGCAUAUGCCUGUUGC